RNAcentral lists this ribosomal RNA (314 nucleotides) under uncultured bacterium. RNAcentral's name for it is "bacterial SSU rRNA". It matches the Rfam family "Bacterial small subunit ribosomal RNA", at positions 334 to 669 of the family's 1533-position model. The record is from RNAcentral.
CGCCCUUACGGGAGGCAGCAGCAAGGAAUUUUCCCCAAUGGGCGCAAGCUGAGGGAGCAACGCCGCGUGGAGGACGACGGCCUUCGGGUUGUAAACUCCUUUCGGGUGGGACGACCACGACGGUACCACCAGAAGCAGCCCCGGCUAACUCUGUGCCAGCAGCCGCGGUAAGACAGAGGGGGCAAGCGUUGUCCGGAGUUACUGGGCGUAAAGGGCGCGGAGGCGGUCUGCGGCGUCGGCGCUGAAAGCCCGCUUAACGGGGCGAGGCGUGCCCAUACGCGCAGACUCGAGGCGAGCAGAGGGUGGCGGAAUUC